Molecule: long non-coding RNA, 4139 nt
Organism: Alosa alosa (allis shad)
Lineage: Eukaryota; Metazoa; Chordata; Actinopteri; Clupeiformes; Clupeidae
Exons: 3
Source: RefSeq, a predicted model, not a curated record
AGAGAGAGAAGAAGAAAAAAGAGGGAAAAAAGGAAAUCACAGCCAUACAGGCAGUGCUCCUCGACCAAGCCCUAUCUGCAGCUCAGCGGUGGGAGAGGACGUUAUAUGCCUGUCUGCUCCUCCCUCUCUCCAAAGGGUCCCAUCUGUCAGCCAUUAGUGCACCAGGGGCUGCUAGUGGAGAAGCUGGCAGAGCGUGUGGGACCAGGGGACAGCUUCACCUCCAGGUGCAGGGCACAGAGGAUGAGGGCAAGGGCAGCCACCUCCGCUCCACUCACACACAUGGCACACAUGGAGCCAUGCUCACAACUCUGGAAGGGAAUCCUGACUGCAGGCUAAAGAGGAUCCAGUUCCCUGCACUAUGUCUUUGACUAUCCAAGCGGUAAGCCAGAGGGCCAAAGCAUGAUGAGACCAGACUUGUCAAUAACCAACCAGCAAAGGUCCUUUUUUCGCAGGGGAGAGAAGUCAAAACAACACAUGCUGUCGACGUGGGAACAGCUGGUAAGAGUGAGCAGUGGAAUGCCGGAGGCCGGGCUGCAGAUCAAUCAUCUGCCAGGGUGAAAAUAACCACCCUGACCUGAUCACCACGCAAAAGAGAGCGACCUCCUCAACCCAUCUUACACUAAGACACCUUUCACGCAAAAUGUAUGUUAAACUCGUAACCACAUACAGUCAUGAAGACAUCUAGAUGUUCAUUGUCAAUGGAAUUAUAUCAAGGACACCUUUUACAUACUUUACAUAUACAUAUUCUAAAGAGAACAGGGUAUGUGGUCACUGGUGUUACAUAGAUUAUAUAGAUGCAGGCUGUGGUUCUCAAAAAUCAGUGUCCAGGCAGCUGAGGAAGUAAGGCCAUCAUUUUGCUAUUGCUGCUCUCUGAGAAAGUAUGGCAGCCAAAUAAACACUGCUAAGACAGCCUAUAGUUUCCUGUGCAGAGUUUUCUCUGUAUGCUAACACCACUCAGCAAAAGAUAAACUGUGCAGCCAUAAGUCAACACCAAACAACACAACUUGGACCUACUCACGCCAAAAGCUCAUCUGGAACUUAUUUUUAACUUUUCCGCCCUAUGCAUUACAAAAUUCUCUUGGGUAUACAAUAAGCACACCUUAGUUGGCUAUAGAAAGAAUGAGACAGCUUGGGCACUGGCUAGACAGCAUAGCUUGGUUACAUUCUAAUAAUAAUAACAUAAAUUUCCCCUAGUAUAUCAUAAUCAAUCUCACCAUACUUACGGUGAUCAGAUUUCUUCAGAUUUGUUCAAUACUUUCAAGCUUUAGGCUACGUUUUUAUAAACGGACAUUUCACCCUCUCUGUUUCAAAUAUAACAUUGUGCACACCUGUCUGUUUUCAGAAAAGUUUUCGUUUACACUAACCCGUGUAUAUAUGUCGUCAAGAGCAUGCCAAACCUGUAGGUGGCAGUGUAACGAGAAGCUCAAGCCCACAUUAGUCAAUCAGAAUCCCGAAAAUAGCAAAUGCAAACAGACAAAAAGAGUUUGCACCAACAUAAAUGCGACUGCUACUCUGAAUGCAUCCAUGAUCACCAUAGCUAAAUGAAAAUGUAAACAUAGAUUGCACUUUUGGCUCAGGUGCAAGUUCUGGUGCAUACUGAGAUGUUGGUUGCCUAAACCUCCAUUUUUGUCAGUUUACAUGCAAACGUGCAACCAAAGUUUUCCAAAAUCUCCACUCUGGCUGGAGUUAUUAGAAUAAUUUUCAGAGGCAAAUUAUCCAUUUGCAUUUACACAAAAUAACCAUGUAUGUGUAAACGGAGUCUCAGCCUCCACUUAAGAGUACCUGGUUAACAUCCAGGGACAUUGGAAUCAAAGACAAGGUUGUGUGAGAGGGCCCCAAAUUCUCAUUCAAGGGUUUGCUGACUUUCAACACCUGCUCUGCAUGUCUCUCAUUAACGCAUUCCUGCUAGCUGAGUGUCCUGUGUUUACAUUACUCCGUUUAAUGGAGACAUUAGAAGGUGAUGUUGUUCUACGUUGCAGUGUUAGGUGCUGCAUUUACUGAGUGGCCCAGGAGCAAUAAGCUCGCUCUUUAGUGAGCACAGGUGCAGGCAACAGAGUCUUGCAAAGGGCAAGACAUUUUACACGCAAGUCAAGUGUGCUUCAAUUUGCUAAAAAGAUAAAAUCCCUGUGCACUGGCUGUUUUUGGAUCCCAGGUGCUGGUGGUGUGCAGGAAUAUCAGACGUUAAAAUAUAAAGAUCAUCACCACACACUAGUCUAAUAUUAGGAAUUGUUUAUAAGGAGCGAACAAUGUGUAGCUUCUUCAGGUUCACUCUCCAAGUAGCUAGCCAACUAUAACUCACUAGUCAACAGGAACAAUUACACAGUUACAAACUAUGCUGCAGCCCCUGAUUAAAACUAGCUAGUUUGCUAACAAAUGUUUUUUCAGCGUUUUGGUGACAUGCUGUAAUAGCAAUUUUAAAAUUUACCUGUAAGGGUAUAUAACCUGUCUUUCACAUGACUAUACACCAAUCAGCCACAACAUUAAAUCAUCUGCGUAAUAUUGCGUAGGUAUCCCUCUUGCCGACAAAACAGCUUUGAAUCUUCAAAGCAUGGACUCCACAAGAUCUCUAAAGGGGUCCUGUGGUAUCUGGUAUCACAACAUUAGUAGCAGACUCUUUUAAGUCCUGUAAGUUGCAAAUUGUUAAGUCCUGUAAGUUGAGAUCAGGUGAAUUUGGAAGCGAAGUCAACACCUUGAACACUUUUGUCAUGUUCCUCUAACAUUUACAGAACAAUUUUUGCAGUGUGGCACAUCAUCAUAUUGCUGGAAAAGGCCAAUACAAUCAGGGAAUUCCAUGGUCAUGAAGAAAUGUAAGUGGUCUGCAACAGUUUUUAUGUUUGUGGAUUGGGUCAAAGUAACAUCCACAUUGAGUGCCAAGGCCCAGAGCAUCACACUGCCUCCAGCAUUUUGCCUUGUUCCCAUAGUGCCUCCAGCUGCCAUCUCAUUCGUGGGUAAACAACACACGAACAACUGGCCAUGAUGAAAAAUGAAAAGAAAAUGUGAUCCAUCAGACUAGACUUUCUCCUGUUGCUCCAUAGUCCAGAUAUGUCGCUCACAAAACAUCAUGCUAUUAUAGGUGCUUCUCUGGAUAAGGUUCAGCAUGUGUAGUCUGACCAGUCUGUGGCUAUGCAGUCCCAUACACAGCAAGCUGUGAUGCACUGUGUGCUCUGACAUCUUUCUAUCAUAGAGCAGCAUAAAGGUUCUAAACUUUUUGUGCUACAACAGUUCUUCAGUGGGAUGCACUCCCCACAUUCAAUGAGCCUUAGGCAUCCAUGACCCUGUUGCUGGUUUAAAGGUUGUUCUACCUUGGACCACUUUUGGUAGAUUGUUGACCACUGCAUACCGGGACCACCCCAAAAGGCCUGCCAUUUUGGAGAUGCUUUGACCCAGUUCUCUAACCAUCACAAUUUGGCCUGGAACAAAAUUGCAUGGAUCAAAAAAAUCUGACUGUUUGCUGGCUGCCUAAUUUAUCUCAUUCUUACAGCGAUGCCACUGUAUCAAGAUAAUCAAUGGUAGCCUAUUCACUUCAUCUGUCAGUGGUUUUAAUGUUGCUGAUUGGUGUAUACCAUCAAAACAUGCUUGAUGAAGUUAUGAAAAAAUAGCUAUCUACACAAACAUACUUUCAACACUGUGGAAAAAGAUUUUCACACUUCAUCUGUUUGAUAAAGUUGUUGGCUGCGUCUGACCAGGAAAGUCAGUGAGGUUUGGCGUAGCAUAAGGUUUUCAUCCUAAAUUUGGCUUAACAAUGAUUUGUGACUAGCCUGUACACACAUUGCAAUCAGAACCAUCACACUCCCCACUUCUACAAGCAAAGCGUACAGUAUGUGAUUGAGUUUGCCAUGUGAUUGAGUUUGCAUAAGAUAUCCAAGGGGAAAAUCCUGUCAGCCACCAGUGCCUGCAAUUCUAGAGUACAUAUUUGUAGUCAAGGGUCAAACACCAAGCUUUGGAGUAGCGCCAUUCAUUAUUCUGAUGAAUACUACACUAGUACUUGAUGGUUUUAGGCUGGGGAGACAUAUUGUGAUUUAGACAGCGGUGUCUUUAAUCAUGGCCAGAGACUGGAUUAAGUAUGUAACAUCGAUGAGCAGUCUCAGGCAGACAUGCUGGUAUUUCCUUCCCAUCUGUGCACCAGUGGCCCUUUAGCU